This is a long non-coding RNA of Amphimedon queenslandica, 253 nucleotides long. RefSeq lists it as uncharacterized. The record is from RefSeq and is a predicted model, not a curated record. The transcript has 2 exons. Lineage: Eukaryota; Metazoa; Porifera; Demospongiae; Haplosclerida; Niphatidae.
CUUAUCCACCAAAUGGUGCAGAAUUCAUAGCAGCUGCUAUAUGUUCUGGUGUUGGUACUUUGUUAACUAUUGCAGCUUUUUGUAUUUGUAGUGUGAAGCUGAUGAUACGAAAUGAUGAUUGAAUCAUGCCAAACAAUUAAACACUAAUUUCAUGUAGAAACAAUAAUUAUAGUGAUCCUAAUAUUGACACUACUUUUUAGUUGAUUAUCAUGUACUGUCUAUUAGUAAAAUGUAUUACAUAUAGUUAAAGCAA